Molecule: small nucleolar RNA, 138 nt
Filed under: Ornithorhynchus anatinus (platypus)
Lineage: Eukaryota; Metazoa; Chordata; Mammalia; Monotremata; Ornithorhynchidae
Source: RNAcentral
CCCCUCUCGGGGUCGCACCUGGAGAGUUUCCAGUGCUCUAUCAGUCUCGAAUACGGGAGGGAGAGUCAAGCAGAGGCAAGUCCCUUCCAUUCCUAGCUUGGGCGGUGGCUAGCGAGUGGAAGGCGAUCUGCUGCAAAA